AUCUUAGACGUAAUAACAGAUUGUAAAUGCUGGAAUCUUAGAAUUAAAUACACAUGUUCAGAACAAAAUUGGUCACAAAUAAGAGUAAAAUAAAAAUAUUGUAUUAUUAUAAGUAGGGACCCGGUUCCAUUCGGUUCUUGUGUUUUUUUCUUUUUUUUUGGUGCAAUGACUUUAUGGGAACAAUUCAAAUCAGUUUUUGUUUCCUCUACACUCUAAAAUUAUUUAAAUUAUUAUUAAAUAUUUCUAAAUAAUAUUAAUUACCUAUUAUUAUUUAUUAAGAAAUAAAAAAUUAAAAUCUAGAACUAGAACUGAAAAAAAACCGUAAUUUAAACGGUUUUUAGUUUUUUUUAUUUGUCAAGAAAUUAGAACCACUGAAAUCCUUGUUAAUCUUGUUAAAAUCUUGUUUACCUGUUACACUAAACCGGUACAGUUUUCAAAUAUUUUAUUAAACCGUAACUAAAACCGAACCAUAAUUUGAUUUCGGUCCGGGUCCCUGAAUUUAUAACAAUAUGCUGUGGAACCUUAAUUACGUAAUUUCCCAAUAAACUUUACAGUUCAUACAGAUCGUUGAUUGCACGCUUGGAAUUUACAAUAAUGCGUCGUAAGAGCCGCACGCGGACAUGACGUAGAAGAGAAUACAAUCUUGUUAAUAUUGUCAUAACAGUACAGUUAUAAUUUAAAAUAGUCCGGACAUUGCGCGCGUGUCUAAAAAAUGUUUUAAAACAAUAACGUCAUAAAGGAAAAUAUAAAACAUUUUACACAUUUUACAAAGAUUUCUUAUAAAAAUAAAAUACUGGGCAAUAUUAAUUUGGCCAAUAUUAAUUAAUACUUAUUUUAAAUACACUAUUGUUAAUACUUGUAAUACCAAAAAUAAGUAAUAAUUACUGAUCAAUUUAAUACUGUCUAGUAUUACAUUUUAUAAGGAUUGGACGCGUCUGACACGAAGGGAUAACAAUUAUUGUGACGUAGUAAAUUCAUGCUAAAUAUUCGCGAACAUAUGGAUCCAGAUAGAUAUGUAUGUGGUGUAAUCGUUUUGCAAUAUAUAUUAUGCGAAUACGCUACAAGUUAAAGAGAAACAGACAAUUUAGCACGUGAUGUCUGAUCACGAUAAAUUAUUGAUAAUCAAUUCUUUUGUAAUCAUUUACUGAUUAAAUCAUCUAGUUGCUGAAUGAUUCGGUAUUUCUUCUAUCGACUUUAAUCGAUAAGAGAAAUAUCAAAUCAGUCAGCAUCUGUAUAUAAGCAUGAUUUGGGUGUAUGUAUAAGUCUAAAAGUAAUUUUGUUGAACUGUUAUGUUGACAUUGUUUCAAGAUUGUCAUAAAGUUCCAGCACUGUUCGAGUAUCCUACAUAAUUAUUUUAAUAAUCCAACAAAAUUAUUUUCUGGAUUUAAUUCUUUUUUGAUGGGAACUUACAUGUCGCAGCGGCCAGGAACUGCACGUGCUUGGAACCCGUCAUGUCUUCAAAGCAGCAAUGACUGACGGUGCUCAACCCGAGUGACGUCCGAGUAUAUUUAAGUCUCCAGAUUGUUUAGCCAGAAAUGUAUCACACAACUCCGAAGAGAAAUUUAUUGGUGCACACUAUAACAUAGUCUUUAUAAAAAUGCUUCUCUAUCUUCUCGUUAACACAAGUGGAAGUCAUUUUCUUUCUGUCCCGUUCGGGUUUCUGUAAUGAGUUACUACGUCUUUUCCCUAUUCUUUUCUCUUAUCAUUUAUCUCGCAAAACGCGAUAGUGAUUGCUGAUCAUGGCAUGCGACGAUGCCACGGAAAUAUCUUUUUGUUCUGCGUUCGGUUUCGCGACGUUCUUCAUAUUAAUUUACGAUGUAUGAUUCGUAUUUCUGAUGUCAAUUAAAAAAAAUAUGUAUCAGACGUCUAAAAAUAGUACCAUUUAAUUAAAAUAUUUUAAAAAUCGCAAUAUGUACAAUAUUACUUAUAAAUAAUAUAAUUUAAAAAAUUCAUCUGAAUUAAUACAGUUCGGGUUCUAUUUCUUAUAAUUUUGUUUGUUUAAUUAUUAUACAUAUUUAUAUUUAUAUCGUAUGCAAAUUAUAUAAAAAUUAUGUUUCCUAAAUAAUUAAAUAUAUGAAAUUUUAUUAUCAUUAGUAUUUAUUAGAAAUAAUUAUGUUGUAGUUCUUUUUUAUUGCGCCAUAUAAAUUCCGUAAUUUUAAUGAUUUCAAUGAUUAUUGAUAUAAAAUUUUCAAUUUGACAAUGAUAUUUUCGGCGUUGUUGUUAAUUAUUACAUUCUCUAUAGAAACGGUACAAAAUGAUUAGUCUCUUAUCUGUGAACGAGAAAUACGUUACAACAUUAAUGAUUUUUCAUACUCUACGCUACGUCUCCUACAAUCGGCAUACGUAAUAUUAGAAACUUGCGAUGUAGUACAAGUAAAAGAAUCAUAUUAAUGUUUCAUCGCAUUUCCUUCACCGAUCAAACAGGAACUUGCUUGCCAAAAAAGAAUGUUUACUUGCACAAUAUAAAUUUCUUUACGCUCGAGAAACACAGUUUAUAGACAAUGAUAUAUACAAAAACAUCAUUAACGUGCGUAUUUGUGCAUAAAAUGACUUCUACUAUACACAUAUAUUAUAUUUGUGCUAUGUGUCAUAUUAAAUUUUAUAUAAGACGUUUGGAAGACAAUAAACUAUUUUUGGUUGCGUU
This 2644-nucleotide long non-coding RNA is filed under the name Monomorium pharaonis (pharaoh ant). RNAcentral's name for it is "uncharacterized LOC118645156". The record is from RNAcentral. Lineage: Eukaryota; Metazoa; Arthropoda; Insecta; Hymenoptera; Formicidae.